RNAcentral lists this long non-coding RNA (922 nucleotides) under Nannospalax galili (Upper Galilee mountains blind mole rat). Its description in RNAcentral is "lncRNA (ENSNGAG00000024560.1)". The record is from RNAcentral. Lineage: Eukaryota; Metazoa; Chordata; Mammalia; Rodentia; Spalacidae.
AUGCCCAUGCACAGUCCACUAUGUUGGUACCUGGGGGGGUUCCUCCACUUCCCCUUUCUUCUCUUUCUUGUCUUUGUCCCCCUUUCCUUUCUUGGCAGGCUGUGGAAUCUCUACAGGAGGUGGCACCACAGGCCAGCCCAGGAUUUAGAAGACAAGCCCCAGCCCCAAGUCUGCAGAAGCCACUGCUGCUGGGGCCACCUCCCCCUUGGGCUCUCUGGAAUGACCCUGAGAGCUGCAGGGAAUGAUGUCUGCCCAGGGCUUCGGGACUGUGCUGAACAGGACUGUCCUUGGGUGAGGCGCACAUGGGGCCAUCACCAGAGGCUGUGGCUGGGGGCCUGGGACAGGGUUGCAAGGGGACUCCCAGGAAGACUGCAAGCACACACAGACACUGUAAAGGUGAGGAAAGAACCGACCUCACAGUUGUUCUCUGGCCUUCAUGCAUGUGCACACAUGUGAUAAUAAAUUAAAAUUUAACAUUUUAAAAUUUAUUUUUAGUUUAUGUAUAUGGGUGUUUUGUCUGCAUCUGUGUAAGUAUACCACCUGCAUGCAAUGCUCACAGAGGCCAGAAGAGGGGCCUAGAUUCCAUCCCCAGGACUGCAAACAAAACAAGAUGGAUGGUUGUUAGCCACCAUGUAGGUGCUAGGAAUUGAACCGGAGUCUUCUGCAAGAGCUGAAAGUGCUCUUAACUUCUGAGCCAUCUCUCUAGUCCAGUAAAUUAAGUUUUAAAGAGAAUGGUAACAAUACAGUAAAAACAGAAGCACAUCCACUAAUAAUUUUUAAAGGGUUUGAAAUGACUCAAAAUAUGUUCUUUGACCACAAGGAAAUUAACAUUAUUCAACAACAGGAGUAAUUUAGAAAGUUCAAGAGUAUAUGGAGAUUAAAAAAUACACUCCUACAUAUUUAAUAGGUCAAAGAAGAAAUU